GCUAAACGCGAAGAACCUUACCUGGCCUUGACAUCUGUCGAAUCCUGCAGAGAUGCGGGAGUGCCGCAAGGAACGACAAGACAGGUGCUGCAUGGCUGUCGUCAGCUCGUGUCGUGAGAUGUUGGGUUAAGUCCCGCAACGAGCGCAACCCUUGUCCUUAGUUGCCAGCACGUAAUGGUGGGAACUCUAAGGAGACUGCCGGUGACAAACCGGAGGAAGGUGGGGAUGACGUCAAGUCCUCAUGGCCCUUACGGCCAGGGCUACACACGUACUACAAUGGUCGGUACAGAGGGUUGCGAAGCCGCGAGGUGGAGCCAAUCCCAGAAAGCCGAUCCCAGUCCGGAUUGGAGUCUGCAACUCGACUCCAUGAAGUUGGAAUCGCUAGUAAUCGCGAAUCAGCUAUGUCGCGGUGAAUACGUUCCC
This 423-nucleotide ribosomal RNA is filed under the name uncultured bacterium. RNAcentral's name for it is "bacterial SSU rRNA". It matches the Rfam family "Bacterial small subunit ribosomal RNA", at positions 954 to 1375 of the family's 1533-position model. The record is from RNAcentral.